This 1308-nucleotide unclassified non-coding RNA is filed under the name uncultured fungus. RNAcentral describes it as "sequence contains 18S rRNA gene, ITS1, 5.8S rRNA gene, ITS2, 28S rRNA gene". The stretch from base 374 to 1308 matches the Rfam family "Eukaryotic large subunit ribosomal RNA", at positions 1 to 961 of the family's 3401-position model. The record is from RNAcentral. Lineage: Eukaryota; Fungi.
GGAAGGAUCAUUCGAAUUCAAAAACAACAAACCACAGCUGGUGUCAUAUAAUUCUUUUCUCUUAUCUAUUUAAAGAUUACACUUUCAACGAUGGAUGUCUCGGGUCUCUCAACGAAGAAGAGCGCAGCGAACUGCGAUAAGCAGCAUGACUAGCAUCCUCUGUGAAUCAUCAGAUUCUUGAACGCAAAUGGCAGUUGUUUGGGUCUCCAACGACUAUGUUUGCUUCAGUGUCAUAUAAAAUCGUUCCUAUUUAAAUUUAAAUGGGGUGCUUGGUGGGUACACAUGUAUUCGCUUGAAGUUUGAUCAAGCAGACGGUUCUGCAAACGGAUUUCCCGCCUUGCAGGAGUGUUGAUCUGAUCGAAUUACACGCUUUUGACCUGAAGUCAAGCAAGGCUACCCGCUGAAUUUAAGCAUAUAAUUAAGCGGAGGAAAAGAAACUAACUAGGAUUCCCUUAGUAGUGGCGAACGAAGUGGGAAGAGCCCAAACCGUUAAUCGUUUGCUUCCGGCAAACGAGUUGAGGUUUUGCUGACUAACCAGACGUACAUCAGAGUUGAGCCUCGUGAAUGCGAGCGUCAUAGAGGGUGAGGACCCCGUCCUUACUCUGAAUGCUUCGUCGUACGGUUGUCAGUGAUUGAGUCGUGUUCCUUGGGAGUGGAGCGCAAAUUGGGUGGUAGCUUUCAUCCUCGGCUAGAUACUGGAGAGACACCGAUAGUGAAGAAGUACCGUGAGGGAAAGAUGAAAAGAACCUCGAGAGGGGUAUUAAAAUUGCCUGAAACCGUUGAAAGGGAAGCGAUUGGAGACUUAGUUGCCAGAUUCACACAGGGCUCGCAACUUCCUGGCGCUGUUCGCAAGUCAGCACAGGUUGUUUGCUUGUUUCGUGUUGUUUCGCAAGCCGGCUAGGUCUGGAUCAGUUGCAGGUUGAGUUCUUGUACUCGGGUUCUCCUGAGUAGUUCUUGAUUUAGCGCUGAUCUUGACGAGUGAUGUAGCCGUCGCAAACGUCUUCAAACGACCCGUCUUGAAACACGGACCAAGGAGUCUAACUUACGUGCAAGUCCUAAGGUGGCAAACCUUGAGGCGUAAUGAAAGUGAUAGUUUGGAUGUCUUCUGCACAAACGACCGACUUCAGUAAUGAGGUUCGCGUAUGAGCAUGUAGGUUCGGACCCGAAAGAUGGUGAACUAUGCCUGAAUAGGGUGAAGCCAGGGGAAACCCUGGUGGUGGCUCGUAGCGAUACUGACGUGCAAAUCGUUCGUCAAAUUUGGGUAUAGGGGCGAAAGACUAAUCGAACCAUCUAGUAGCUGGUUCCCUC